This 375-nucleotide unclassified non-coding RNA is filed under the name uncultured Coniochaetales. RNAcentral's name for it is "sequence contains ITS2". The stretch from base 1 to 154 matches the Rfam family "5.8S ribosomal RNA". The record is from RNAcentral. Lineage: Eukaryota; Fungi; Ascomycota; Sordariomycetes; Coniochaetales.
AACUUUCGGCAAUGGAUCACUUGGUUCUGGCAUCGAUGAAGAACGCAGCGAAAUGCGAUAAGUAAUGUGAAUUGCGGAAUUCAGUGAACCAUCGAAUCUUUGAACGCACAUUGCGCCCGCUAGUACUCUAGCGGGCAUGCCUGUUCGAGCGUCAUUUCAACCCUCAAGCACUGCUUGGUGUUGGGGCCCUACGGCUGCCGUAGGCCCUGAAAGGAAGUGGCGGGCUCGCUACAACUCCGAGCGUAGUAAUUCGUUUUCUCGCUACGGGCGUUGCGGCGGUGCUCCUGCCGUUAAAGACCCCAUCUUUAACCAAAGGUUGACCUCGGAUCAGGUAGGAAUACCCGCUGAACUUAAGCAUAUCAAUAAGCGGAGGCU